GACGAACGCUGGCGGCGUGCCUAAUACAUGCAAGUCGAACGCUUCUUUCCUCCCGAGUGCUUGCACUCAAUUGGAAAGAGGAGUGGCGGACGGGUGAGUAACACGUGGGUAACCUACCCAUCAGAGGGGGAUAACACUUGGAAACAGGUGCUAAUACCGCAUAACAGUUUAUGCCGCAUGGCAUAAGAGUGAAAGGCGCUUUCGGGUGUCGCUGAUGGAUGGACCCGCGAUGCAUUAGCUAGUUGGUGAGGUAACGGCUCACCAAGGCCACGAUGCAUAGCCGACCUGAGAGGGUGAUCGGCCACACUGGGACUGAGACACGGCCCAGACUCCUACGGGAGGCAGCAGUAGGGAAUCUUCGGCAAAGGACGAAAGUCUGACCGAGCAACGCCGCGUGAGUGAAGAAGGUUUUCGGAUCGUAAAACUCUGUUGCUAGAGAAGAACAAGGACGUUAGUAACUGAACGUCCCCUGACGGUAUCUAACCAGAAAGCCACGGCUAACUACGUG
Molecule: ribosomal RNA, 508 nt
Filed under: uncultured bacterium
Lineage: Bacteria
Description: partial 16S ribosomal RNA
Rfam family: Bacterial small subunit ribosomal RNA
Source: RNAcentral